Trichonephila inaurata madagascariensis is the source of this 75-nucleotide non-coding RNA. The record is from the annotation of a GenBank genome assembly. NCBI's taxonomy places the organism in Eukaryota, Metazoa, Arthropoda, Arachnida, Araneae, Nephilidae.
GUCCCAGUAGCGCAAUGGGUGUAGCGCGUUGGACAUCUAAUCCAAAGGUCGUGCCUUCAAAUCCCACUUGAGAUG